GAAUAUAAGAUGUGGGAUAAUAUAAGAAUGGGACAUUUUAUCCAAGUCAUCUCAAUGGUAAAAAGUGUCCCAAUCACCCUGAACUGGAGCUCUAAAAUAAUGUUAUUGACUUCAACUGAUGAAUGCAGCCAAAGAAAAGAUGAAGAAUGGAAAAGCACUUUGCUGGCAAAGAAAUUGGAAAAUAACACAGGUUACGCGCAUGUAUCCAUGGCAACGCUCGGCUGCUUCGACAGUUAACGGUCCUGCCGGUGAUUUUCUCAGAUGAGGCCUUGAGUUUUCUCUUUCGUCGGUCAAAAAGGUUAGAAGCCAUCGAAAAAACUGCCAUCGGACUACCACAGCUGACAACGAGAGACGCGCGUGCACAACUGCAUAACACACACACACACACACACACACACACACACACACACACACACACACACAC
This is a long non-coding RNA of Megalobrama amblycephala (Wuchang bream), 424 nucleotides long. RefSeq lists it as uncharacterized. The record is from RefSeq and is a predicted model, not a curated record. The transcript is spliced from 3 exons. Lineage: Eukaryota; Metazoa; Chordata; Actinopteri; Cypriniformes; Xenocyprididae.